RNA transcript from Nothoprocta perdicaria, 1902 nucleotides. It is a transcript of the gene named tRNA methyltransferase 11 homolog, with no coding region annotated. NCBI's taxonomy places the organism in Eukaryota, Metazoa, Chordata, Aves, Tinamiformes, Tinamidae. The record is from RefSeq and is a predicted model, not a curated record. The transcript has 12 exons.
UGUGCUUACAGCCUCUGUGGAGGUCACAGAACAGCAUGCUGUAAAGUGUAACACAGCCUCUCGGUGGUCUCUGAAAUUAUGACAUUAGAAAACACAUUUUUUGUUCUUUAAAAACGGUUGUAUCUGCUUGUAGAGUCUGACCUGUUGAAUUUUCACUGCAGGAAAUAACGUCUUUGCUCUCGCUUUAUGGUGGACAGUUCAACAAUCAGCAGGAAAUUCGUGUAAAUUCUCCAUUUUGGAUUCUUGAUAUUCCUUCGGAAGAGAUGGCAAGGGGACUAAUGAAACGGACAGUGUGCGCAAAGUCUAUAUUUGAAUUGUGGGGUCAUGGCAGAUCUGCAGGGGAGCUUUAUACAUCUCUGAAGAGCUAUCCAGUGGAGAAGAUGCUUCCGUAUCUACAGGCAGACUCUACGUACAAAAUACGUAUCCAUACGUUCAACAAAACGCUGACCCAAGCAGAGAAAAUAAAAAAGAUAGAUGCACUAGAAUUUCUGCCAUUCAGUGGAAAAGUGAAUUUGAAGAGUCCGGAACAUGUCUUCUGGAUUUUGGAAGAUUAUGGCCUGGAGCCUAAUAACGUGCCUGAAGAGCCUCUUGAUCUGUAUUUUGGCAGAUGGAUUGCAGAUGGCCAAAGAGAACUUAUUGAGUCCUACAGUGUAAAAAAGAGACACUUCAUCGGGAACACUAGCAUGGAUGCCUGCUUGUCUUUCAUUAUGGCAAACCAUGGGAGAGUAAAACCCAACGAUAUUGUAUUUGAUCCAUUUGUUGGAACAGGUGGCCUUCUUAUCUCCUCAGCACACUUUGGAGCAUAUGUGUAUGGUGCUGAUAUAGACUACAACACAGUCCAUGGGUUAGGGAAGGCCAGCAGAAAGAACCAGAAAUGGAGGGGGCCAGAUGAAAACAUCAGAGCUAAUCUCCGGCAGUAUGGCCUYGAGAGAUUCUACCUGGAUGCCCUCGUUUCCGAUUCUUCGAAACCGAUAUGGCGAAAGGGGGUGCUCUUUGAUGCCAUCAUUACAGAUCCACCAUACGGAAUCCGAGAAGCUACUCGCAGGACAGGUUCACAAAAAGAAGCAGUUAAGUCGAGUGAAAGAAGCACAGAAAAUCCCGUCUUCAUUUCAUCCAGCUAUCAUCUGAGUGACAUCUUUUUUGACCUAUUGAAAUUUGCAGCAGAAUACCUGGUGAUGGGAGGAAGAUUAGUUUACUGGCUGCCAAUAUACAGGCCUGAGUAUGUAUUCUUGAUUUCUGAUACACAGAAGAGAUCAUUCCCCGGCACCCCUGUCUGAAGCUUAUUAGUAACUGUGAGCAGAUGCUUUCCAGCCACACAUCAAGGCGCCUGAUAACCAUGGAAAAGGUGAAAGAAUUCAAGGAUCAAGAUCACAGUUCUUACUUGUUGGACGGUCAAUAUAUGCCAUACAAGGGACACAAUUCUUUUCGUGAGAAGUAUUUCAGUGGUGUGACAAAAAGGAUUGCCAAGGAAGAAAAAGACAACCAGAAGUAAAAUAUAAUAUAAACAGAUUCAAAAAUGAGGAAAGAAUAAAGAUCAUGUUUCUUUGUAAGGACAUCUGGAUGUGCGCAUUCAUCUGGACGCUUCAGAAAAUAAAUACUGCUCUUGAUUUUUAAAACAAGAUGAAACCCACAACACUGGUUGAAAGCAGCUUUUUUUAAAAUUAGCUUUGUUUAUAGCAGAUUUUAUUGUACAAGUUUUUUGAGCCUUAUUUAAUUUAUAUUUGUACUUUCAAGUACUACURAUAAUAAUGGUUUUAGUUGAUCAUUGUUCUUUCACCAUUAACAUUUACAAAAAGGUAGUAGUAUUAUUUGGCUUCUUAAACUGUGAACAUCUGGCUGUUUUAGAAGCACGUUGUGGUGAUUAAGGAUUGCUUAUUAAGAAGAUCGUUUUCGUUUUUUUUU